GCCGGGGUGGUGAAAUUGGUAUACACGCUUGUCUUAGGAACAAGUGGGGAAACCCGUGGAGGUUCAAGUCCUCUCCCCGGCACCA
RNAcentral lists this transfer RNA (85 nucleotides) under Candidatus Falkowiibacteriota bacterium. RNAcentral describes it as "tRNA-Leu". It matches the Rfam family "tRNA". Rfam says of the family: Transfer RNA (tRNA) molecules are approximately 80 nucleotides in length. Their secondary structure includes four short double-helical elements and three loops (D, anti-codon, and T loops). Further hydrogen bonds mediate the characteristic L-shaped molecular structure. tRNAs have two regions of fundamental functional importance: the anti-codon, which is responsible for specific mRNA codon recognition, and the 3' end, to which the tRNAs corresponding amino acid is attached (by aminoacyl-tRNA synthetases). tRNAs cope with the degeneracy of the genetic code in two manners: having more than one tRNA (with a specific anti-codon) for a particular amino acid; and 'wobble' base-pairing, i.e. permitting non-standard base-pairing at the 3rd anti-codon position. The record is from RNAcentral. Lineage: Bacteria; Candidatus Falkowiibacteriota.